GUCCAGAGAUGGGAAUCGAACCCACAGUGUUCCGCUUACGAGGCAGAUGCCAUGUCCACUAGGCUACCCUGGA
This 73-nucleotide transfer RNA is filed under the name Cordylochernes scorpioides. RNAcentral's name for it is "tRNA-Thr". The record is from RNAcentral. Lineage: Eukaryota; Metazoa; Arthropoda; Arachnida; Pseudoscorpiones; Chernetidae.